RNAcentral lists this unclassified non-coding RNA (216 nucleotides) under uncultured Rhizophagus. RNAcentral describes it as "partial internal transcribed spacer 2". The record is from RNAcentral. Lineage: Eukaryota; Fungi; Glomeromycota; Glomeromycetes; Glomerales; Glomeraceae.
UUAAUAAAAAUCGGCGUGUUGCUCUUUUGUGACGUUCCGGAGUUUGGGUCAUCUUAUAACAACACCCUUUCAGGGUAUUAUUUUUAAGAGGCUUAAAAUUGACCUUUUUUGUGUAUUUUUAGACGUACAUAAAUUUUUUUUUAUUCGUCUAUCUUAAUGCCAAAAUCUAUUAGAUGCGACCAUAUCAUGUGGUUCCGUGUCUAUAAAUUUUUCAUG